UACGUAGGGGGCAAGCGUUGUCCGGAAUCAUUGGGCGUAAAGAGCGUGUAGGCGGCCCGAUAAGUCCGCCGUGAAAGCCCAGGGCUCAACCCUGGGAUGCCGGUGGAAACUGUCGGGCUAGAGUCCGGAAGAGGCGAGUGGAAUUCCUGGUGUAGCGGUGAAAUGCGCAGAUAUCAGGAGGAACACCAAUGGCGAAGGCAGCUCGCUGGGACGGUACUGACGCUGAGACGCGAAAGCGUGGGGAGCAAACAGG
Molecule: ribosomal RNA, 253 nt
Filed under: uncultured bacterium
Lineage: Bacteria
Description: partial 16S ribosomal RNA
Rfam family: Bacterial small subunit ribosomal RNA
Source: RNAcentral